CCCGGUGGUAGAAUUCUUCCAUCAAACGGCCAUCUGCUCUCCGUAGAAAACGAACGGAUAGGAUUCCAUCAUCGCCAAUAUAAAAGGUCAACAGUCGGCAUUUGCCGAGGAGGGCUUUUGCCGAAGCCGAAGAGCGGCAACUGACGCACCUCCAAAAAUAAGCUUGGUGAGCUAUAGGACAACACGAGGGUUUUCAUUGGAGGUCUGCUUGGCAUGGAGGCUUCCUCAACUUAUCAACUAUAGAAUGUGAAGUUACAAGAGUGAAAGGACUCGUGAAGAGGUUUUCAAAACAAUUAUUCUUGAAAUAGAUUUUUUAUUGCAAGAUUUGAAAUAUCUUGAUAGGUAUUCAUGCUUUUUAUUUUACAAUUCCAAACCUUUGAUUGAUUGCUAUGACUGUUUUAAGGAAUGUAAUGGAGCAGCACACUGACCUGCAUAGAUCA
Molecule: long non-coding RNA, 440 nt
Organism: Musa acuminata AAA Group (dessert banana)
Lineage: Eukaryota; Viridiplantae; Streptophyta; Magnoliopsida; Zingiberales; Musaceae
Exons: 2
Source: RefSeq, a predicted model, not a curated record